CUGAAAUUGUACCAGAGCUCCUUGCUGCCCCAGGCAUCCCACACUCCUCGAGGCCGUUCCCAGAGCUCCAAACUUUCCGCAGAAGCUUCUGGAGUUGGUGUUUUGCCCCAAGAUGUGUUUUGAUAUUGAUGGCAAAGCUAAACAGGGGAGAGCCUUAAAAGAAAGAAGCAGCAGCUUGCAGCUAAAUGUGGACAUCAUUAUCACAUUUUUAGUGACUGGAUCAGAUCUUGCUGUCUUUUGCAGAAGAUACCUGUUGGAAUUGGUGAGGCUGGUGUCUCAGAACUGUGUUGCAAUUUGGCACACUCACUGUCAGUGGUGAUGCUAUGCUGGAACCCACAGGCUCCCUACUAAAAAGAGAGAGUAGCAGUGUACUGCAGGGCUGGUUAACAAAGUCAGCGUGCUUGUAAUGCAAGCAAUCCCAAGUGUCUUCUGCAAAACUUUCCGGACGAGAGAAGAAACCUCAUGUGCCCUGCUUCAAAUGCUGCUGUUUACCUUUCAUAACUGCCUGAAUCAACAAGAUGGAUAAAUAUUUUUCUGUCAUGACGGGAUGAGAGAAAGAUGGAAAGAACAACAUGUGACAGAGGAGAGGUGCUUCAGCCCUCUGAUCAUCCUCCUGGAUCUCCUCUGGAUCCUCUCCAAACGCUGCACGUCCUUCCUGAGUGAGGGACCCCGUGCCUGAUGCAGUACUCCAGGUGAGACCUCAUGAGGGCAGGGAGGGACAGCCACCUCCCUGAUACAGAAGUGCUUAGCUAUCAGUGGAGCUCAACUGAUUUAUUCUUGAUGAAGAUCUUGCCUGCAACAAGGUACUAAAAUGUAAGAGAUGGGCUGUGCAGGAAGUGCCACUGCUGGAAGUGUCUCCAAAGAAAUUCUGGCAGGUCCUGAUUAUCUAUGCAGACCUUGGAUUUGUCUCUUGGAUAGUGUCUGGCUUCCAGCAAAGCUGAGGAGUAUUCCUGUUCUAUAUUGGUGUGUGGGAAAAUCACAUUGACUGUACAGAUCAAUGGGUCAGACACAUAGAGGCCUUCUGUAUGCAGGCUAAAUAAAGAUCUGUUGAAAUGUGCCAUAUAACCCACGUUCAGAGAGCUGAAUUUCCCAGAAACAAGCUAGUAUUUCAACCAGCCCCUCGGUGUGAAUAACACUCAGUAUCUUCUGCUGGAAGUGACUGAAAGGAUCUAGCAUUUUCCUAGAAAAAUGACAAUCUACUAUUUGGGAGUUGCCAGAGAAUGAGGCUGUUUCCUGCAUUGAUUGAUGCUCUGAAAUGCUCACCCACAACCAACUCAAGGGUACUCCUUCCAAGAACACAAUGCUUGUGACUUUAGUGGAAAUGAGAGAUAAGGAGAAGAUCCUCCAGGCUGCCUGGAAAGAGAGAAGCAUUGAAUUCCAAGGGCAAGUGAUAACAAUUUCUCCAGACUUCAGCAAGAAGAUACAAGAAAGAAGGUAGAACUUUAAAAAGCCUUUGUAGAUUUUAAAUCCAAGCCUGUCGUCUCUUAUGAAAAUGGGAGUUCUACAUGAAAAUAAAGAUUACUCCUUCUGGGAUGCAGAUUGAGGGAAACAGUUUUUAACAGAUAUCACCUCCAUUGUUGCUGUGGGCCAUUUGGAUGGAUUAAUUCCUCGUGUUUUAAUGGCAGAGCCCAGGUAGCACAUCCUGGCAUUGUGUGCUCUGUGCACAGAAACCCUUGGGAGUUGCAAACUGUCCACGAAGUCUACUCCAUCAUGGGGACUGAGACAGAUGGCACAGCUGCCAAAGCUGGCAGGGCUGAGCAUCUGGUAAUGCAUUGAUUUAAAGCAGUUCUCAAGCAGCGUCCGCAGUGUUGUUGAACUGAGAUGAGCACAGUUCAGAGUUACUAUCCUGCUGGAGCCCAAGGGUGUUGCCACAGCCUCUUAUUGGAAGCAAGUACCAAAUGCUUUGGAAGGUGAAGAAAAGCAGCCUCCCUUCUGGGCAACCUGUCAGGAACUGCUGAUAUCAGGGAGGGAGUCAGAGCUGUGGAAGGUUACUGCUACCACUGUUUCACAGUGAAGUUUGGAUUCCUUUAGCAAAGCUCUUGUCAGGAUUUUAUUUUAUUUUUUGGCAUUGUCAGUGCUUUCUCUCUUUCUCUCCCUCCC
Gallus gallus (chicken) is the source of this 2100-nucleotide long non-coding RNA. NCBI's taxonomy places the organism in Eukaryota, Metazoa, Chordata, Aves, Galliformes, Phasianidae. The record is from Ensembl.